AAGGAGUUGGGUCUUCUGCAGUCUCCAAUGCUUACUCUGGAGGCACAUCAUCACCUACUGCUCACAUCCAAAGGACUGGAUGAUCAUCGCAAGGGGAAGGCAAACACAUACAACACAAACAAUGCAAGGGUAAGCUGGGUCUCAAAUAAACAUACAAUUUAAUCCAAUUCAAUCUAAUAUUUCCGAGAACCUCCACACCCACAUAAACUUGCAAAUCCUCAUAAACAUGGACAUUAGUUUCAUAAAACACAUCAAAAUAAUCAUCCUAUCAUAUUAAGACCUCUAGACUCGUCCGGACUAAAGAAUGUAUAUAGAGCUGGGGCGGGUUGUGCACUUGUGGUGGCCUCUACUGCUUUGCAAAGCCAUUGCCGAGGGGUUUCACCCGACCACACACAAGGCUGGUCCGUUACCGCGGAAUAGACCUCCAUUGAUAGCGCCUACCCUAGGACCUCCCACUACUCUCACCACACACGUCAAUCUUCUCUAAGUGAGAAUGAAAGACCGUUAGAGUGUUAGGGAUAACCCCCCAUAGUGGAAGCCUCUUACAUACAUUUAAUACACUAACUGAUCUCACCGAGAGAUCUUAAUUUCAUAUUCAAUCUGACCACUUUAAAUCACAUUAUAAUCCUCUUGAAUCAAUAAUGUACCUCAUAAACCACUUUGAUUCAUCAAACAUAAAAUUUCAUAGUCAUUCAAGUGCAUCCUUACUAUAUUAUCUCAUACCAAACUCAUACACCAUCA
RNAcentral lists this long non-coding RNA (741 nucleotides) under Vigna radiata. RNAcentral's name for it is "long non-coding RNA (VRAD_LNC018155)". The record is from RNAcentral. Lineage: Eukaryota; Viridiplantae; Streptophyta; Magnoliopsida; Fabales; Fabaceae.